This 446-nucleotide ribosomal RNA is filed under the name Oceanobacillus picturae. Its description in RNAcentral is "bacterial SSU rRNA". It matches the Rfam family "Bacterial small subunit ribosomal RNA", at positions 1014 to 1460 of the family's 1533-position model. Lineage: Bacteria; Bacillati; Bacillota; Bacilli; Caryophanales; Bacillaceae. The record is from RNAcentral.
UUCCCUUCGGGGAACAGAGUGACAGGUGUNGCAUGGUUGUCGUCAGCUCGUGUCGUGAGAUGUUGGGUUAAGUCCCGCAACGAGCGCAACCCUUGAUCUUAGUUGCCAGCAUUUAGUUGGGCACUCUAAGGUGACUGCCGGUGACAAACCGGAGGAAGGUGGGGAUGACGUCAAAUCAUCAUGCCCCUUAUGACCUGGGCUACACACGUGCUACAAUGGAUGGAACAAAGGGAAGCAAAACCGCGAGGUCAAGCAAAUCCCAUAAAACCAUUCUCAGUUCGGAUUGCAGGCUGCAACUCGCCUGCAUGAAGCCGGAAUCGCUAGUAAUCGCGGAUCAGCAUGCCGCGGUGAAUACGUUCCCGGGCCUUGUACACACCGCCCGUCACACCACGAGAGUUGGUAACACCCGAAGUCGGUGAGGUAACCUUUUGGAGCCAGCCGCCGAA